RNAcentral lists this long non-coding RNA (623 nucleotides) under Phoenix dactylifera (date palm). RNAcentral describes it as "long non-coding RNA (PDAC_LNC005283)". The record is from RNAcentral. Lineage: Eukaryota; Viridiplantae; Streptophyta; Magnoliopsida; Arecales; Arecaceae.
GCUGUCCUCCCUAUAAAGACCCCUCCAUCAACGCUCCCUUCUUCAAGCUCUUCCCCCUUUGUCCUCCUCCCUCCCUUGCUCUGCUUCUCUACAGUAUCAUCAGCCUCCAAACAUACUUCGAAUUUUGAUGGGGCCAUGGUUCUCGGUACCUCCUUCAAAUCCUCCGUUAGCGGAUAUCUGGCUUUGGAUCGCUCACAUCAGCCUUGUACGUGAAGGAAUUUCCUUGAAUCCAGAGUAACAUGGGUCCAUUAAGGUAUGAAUCUCUAAUUAUAUCUUUCAUUCGCCUUUAUUUGAUUGAAUUCUGAAGCUUUUUACGCAAACCAACAGAUGAUAGGGUCCAUCAUCAAAUUUAUGAUCCGGUGCGAGUGGGCAAAUGCAUUUGCCAGAGCUGGGUGGUACGACACUACCACUGGUGGCACUUCUGGAUGCCAAGGAAUUUGAAGAGGCGAACUGCAUCAUCAUUUGAGAGUGCUCAGAAUAGGAAAUGAGGACUGCAAGUUAUCGACACGUGAUCAGGAGAUGUAGUGUUAAGUUUUUCGAACCUACUUGGGUUGGACCUAAUCUCUGAUAGCAAUACAAGAACGGCAUGUCCUGUUUUAUUUAUUAAAUUCUUACAAAGAAAG